RNAcentral lists this ribosomal RNA (356 nucleotides) under Streptococcus equinus. RNAcentral's name for it is "bacterial SSU rRNA". It matches the Rfam family "Bacterial small subunit ribosomal RNA", at positions 8 to 354 of the family's 1533-position model. The record is from RNAcentral. Lineage: Bacteria; Bacillati; Bacillota; Bacilli; Lactobacillales; Streptococcaceae.
AGAGUUUGAUCCUGGCUCAGGACGAACGCUGGCGGCGUGCCUAAUACAUGCAAGUAGAACGCUGAAGACUUUAGCUUGCUAAAGUUGGAAGAGUUGCGAACGGGUGAGUAACGCGUAGGUAACCUGCCUACUAGCGGGGGAUAACUAUUGGAAACGAUAGCUAAUACCGCAUAACAGCAUUUAACACAUGUUAGAUGCUUGAAAGAAGCAAUUGCUUCACUAGUAGAUGGACCUGCGUUGUAUUAGCUAGUUGGUGAGGUAAAGGCUCACCAAGGCGACGAUACAUAGCCGACCUGAGAGGGUGAUCGGCCACACUGGGACUGAGACACGGCCCAGACUCCUACGGGAGGCAGCAG